AUUCGAACCCAGAGUGAUAGAAAAUUUGAUAUAUAUGGGCCUGCAAGGAUGGUUUCUAGACAGUUUCGCCUGGGCGCGCGGGUUUGGCAGAAAAUUUAAAUUUGGGAGGCGGCAUGGGUGGACAGGAUGACAGUAGCCAAGAAUAGCGCGCCGGUGGGGAAGGGCAAGGAGUAGUAUGUGACGGCGCCGCCGCCGCUGUGAAUGAGCAGCUCGUAGCCGGCGGCGUACUUGGGGCAGUCAGCGUUGGAGGAGAGGGUGGAGAGGGCGGAUGAGACAUCGAGGAGGGGGAGGUGGUGGCGAUGAUGGGCGGAGGUCGGUGGGAACACUGCGGCAGAGGAAGAGGCAGAAGAUGCGUCGGUGGCGGACCUACGGCGGCCAGCGGCGGAGGAGACGGGUGAGCAGGCGGAGGAGACGGCAAGGGGGGAGAGGUGGCAGUGAUGGUCUACGCUAAGCCUGCAGCAGCAGAGGAGGAGGCAGUAUAGGCCUCGUUAGACGGACGGCGGCGUCGGCCUGCUUGCCGAGGUUGGCAUCGGAUGAGACGGGGAAAGGGGCGGAGCCACGGGGGAGACGGCGAGGAGGAUGGUUCGCCGCGGCGGUGAGAGGUUGGACUGGUAGAAGGCAUAAGGCCGGGGAGUUGGCUGGGGUUGAACGGCGUCGACAACUGCCACAUCGCCGGAUCGAUUCCAGCGCUGCCGGCGGCGGUUCGUACGGCGCCUCCCGUUCUGGAGAGGAGAUGGUGGAUAAGGUCGAUAGUUUCUUUUUUUUUUUGACCCGG
RNAcentral lists this ribosomal RNA (775 nucleotides) under Triticum aestivum (bread wheat). Its description in RNAcentral is "partial small subunit ribosomal RNA". Lineage: Eukaryota; Viridiplantae; Streptophyta; Magnoliopsida; Poales; Poaceae. The record is from RNAcentral.